RNAcentral lists this ribosomal RNA (253 nucleotides) under uncultured bacterium. Its description in RNAcentral is "partial 16S ribosomal RNA". It matches the Rfam family "Bacterial small subunit ribosomal RNA", at positions 524 to 776 of the family's 1533-position model. The record is from RNAcentral.
GACAGAGGGGGCAAGCGUUGUUCGGAAUCACUGGGCUUAAAGGGCGCGUAGGCGGGCCAUCAAGUCCGGGGUGAAAUCCUUCGGCUUAACCGGAGAAUUGCCUUGGAUACUGGUGGUCUUGAGGGAAGUAGGGGUCUGCGGAACUUCCGGUGGAGCGGUGAAAUGUGUUGAUAUCGGAAGGAACGCCGGUGGCGAAAGCGGCGGACUGGGCUUCUUCUGACGCUGAGGCGCGAAAGCUAGGGGAGCAAACGGG